UGGGUGAGGAUACUGUGGCAGAUCAGGU
Molecule: non-coding RNA, 28 nt
Filed under: Homo sapiens (human)
Lineage: Eukaryota; Metazoa; Chordata; Mammalia; Primates; Hominidae
Source: RNAcentral